RNAcentral lists this ribosomal RNA (482 nucleotides) under uncultured bacterium. RNAcentral describes it as "partial 16S ribosomal RNA". It matches the Rfam family "Bacterial small subunit ribosomal RNA", at positions 28 to 523 of the family's 1533-position model. The record is from RNAcentral.
GAUGAACGCUGGCGGCGUGCCUAACACAUGCAAGUCGAACGGAGUUAUGAAGUUUUCGGACGGAUUAACUUAGUGGCGGACGGGUGAGUAACGCGUGGGUAACCUGCCUCAUACAGGGGGAUAACAGUUGGAAACGACUGCUAAAACCGCAUAACAUUGCGAUGCCGCAUGGCGAUGCAAUUAAAUAUUUAUAGGUAUGAGAUGGGCCCGCGUCUGAUUAGCUAGUUGGUGAGGUAAUGGCUCACCAAGGCGACGAUCAGUAGCCGGCUUGAGAGAGUGACCGGCCACAUUGGGACUGAGACACGGCCCAAACCCCUACGGGAGGCAGCAGUGGGGAAUAUUGCACAAUGGGCGAAAGCCUGAUGCAGCGACGCCGCGUGAGUGAAGAAGUAUUUCGGUAUGUAAAGCUCUAUCAGCAGGGAAGAUAAUGACGGUACCUGACUAAGAAGCCCCGGCUAACUACGUGCCAGCCGCCGCGGUAA